This is a long non-coding RNA of Pan troglodytes (chimpanzee), 790 nucleotides long. RefSeq lists it as uncharacterized. The transcript is spliced from 2 exons. The record is from RefSeq and is a predicted model, not a curated record. NCBI's taxonomy places the organism in Eukaryota, Metazoa, Chordata, Mammalia, Primates, Hominidae.
GGGGGGCGCGGACACGCGUGGUGUGCGCGGUCCCCGUGCAGCCCGCCCUGCCGCAGGCUGCCCUCCACCCCCAGCCCCAGCCCCAGCCCCCAGCCCGUCCCUACUGCUCAUAUCCGAGCAGAUAGACCCCGGCCCCACCCUCCCGUGCUGAGCCUCCUUUCUGCCGGGAAGUUCGUCCGGGAGUCAAACAUCGCUGCCCUCCGGUUGCGCCACGGAGGGGGAGCCAGGAUAGGAAGCUGCCGUGAAAUCAGGAAGCUGAGCGCGCCGGGCCCCGGAUCCGAUCAGAAAAGGCUUCCACCCGCUCCCCUGAGGGAUCCCACGCUGAGGGACUGAACCCCGCACCCCAGCCGCGCUCACCACCCCCACCCUCUCGCCUGGGCUGCUCUGACCUGGGGGAGUCUUGCUCUGUCGCCCAGGCUGGAGUGCAGUGGCGCGAUCUUGGCUCACUGCAACCUCUGCUUCCCAGGUUCAAGCAAUUCUCCUGCCUCAGCCUCCUGAGUAGCUGGGAUUACAGACGCGCACUACCACGCCCGGCUAAUUUUUGUAUUUUUAGUAGAGACAGGGUUUCACCAUGUUGGUUAGGCUGGUGUUGAACUCCUGACCUUGUGAUCUGCCCACCUUGGCCUCCAAAAGUACUGGGAUUACAGGCGUGAGCCACCACACCCGGCCCAAAGAUCUAUUUUUUAAGCUAGAUGGCAGGUACAUGAGUAUGUAUUAUAUAGCUUUUUAUAAUUUUAUCAUUUUUUAUGUCUAAUACUUAAUAAAACAAGCAAAAAUGUAAGCAGUACAA